CUCAAGUUGCUGCAGAUAAAUCUGGGAAGUGAAGAAAUACUAGAAACUUCCUUAAGUAGUUUAAGUAAACUCCUUUACUGAGAAGGUCUUAGAAACCCUUCCCUUUGCUGCGCUCCGAAAAUCGCAACCUUGCUGGGCUUCUGGUUGCCGAUCUAGUUUUUGCCCUCCCGCUUCUUCAUUAGGUCCUUGAGAGAGCUGUGAAACACAGAUCUAUCCUGUUCAGUGCUGCGGGCCCGCGCUCUGGAAAGUUUCUGCAUUUCUUUGAGCGGCUGCUUUCCCCACCGAGUUUCCCGGGGCCCGGGCACCCGCAGCCCUCCUCUCUCUGCAGAACGUGAGGGGCGUGAGCAGUCGGGCGGUGGGCUCGUCUCUCCCCGGCUGCUGCCCAUGCAGCCAUCUCUCAUUCUCCUCUCCCUAGUGAGCCCUUCUGGAAGAAAUUGGGCCCUAAGUGUGGUCUCAGCUCUCUCAAGUGAUGGGGAGCCUUGGAGAUGGUUUGAGAACCAAGUUCUGCACGCUAGUAUCCAUUCUCCCAACUGAUAAUGACGCUUCAGUUGCCCGUAAGGAAGACCCUCCUUCCCCCAUUGGAUACAACCUUACUUCGACUGUUACUCAAGGUGUCCUACCCUCCUCUGGCCAGUGGCUCUUUUUGGAAAAUUCCCUACGAGAACCGAAAUUUAAACCCAUUUACUUUAUAAGAAGCAGCAGAAAGGUCGCUCUUCCCAGUCUUCAUGCACCUGCAGGGCUGUCAACACUGGGAGGACUGGAAGAAAUUUGUAAAGAGUCUGGGAGUCUUCAGAGAGGAAAAGAGUGCAGACCUGGACUCCUCCUUUUCCAAUGUCUUUAUUAUUAGAAGGUUUUCUAUGCAUUGAGCCGGUUCUGAUUAAGAAAGGAUCUAAUAAGAAGGAACAUUGAAGACCUUAAGCUGUUAGCCCUGCUGUGGCCGGCAUUACCCGAUGGGACAGGCUAUCCGGUCAUGGGCACGACUGGAGGCAGAAGGCCCUCCUGACCCGGCCACUGUGCUCUGUAAACUAAAAAGCUGUUGGCGCGGAUGCCAUGUCUUACCUCUGAGGAGCAGGCUGCUUCUCUCUUGACGAAUCGCUGUGGCCACUAUUGGAAUCUGCAACAGCAAAGGCCAGCGCACACCAGGCGAAAAGGUCACCCUGGCCUGUGGGGGAUCCGUUUUCAUCAGUAAACGGUGCCAGGAGCAGAACACCAGCAGCCUUCAGCUUGUAUUCUCUCAGACUCUCUGGUUUUCUCCCUCUGAGGUGGAUCAAGAGGCCCCCAGAGUUUUUGAACAAUUUGAUAGACAAGAGAGACCUUGGACUCCCUGCUAGUCUGGCAAUUGAGAAGUGGUUUUAAUUUGGAAAAAAUAACAGAUGUUAUGACCUGAGAAGACUGAAUGUAUUUUCUUGUGGUCUUGUGCUUUGCAGUUUUGAAUAUAUAGUUUAGAUCAAUAAAGAUAUAUUAAUGGAAGAAUAUCAAGUUUUGUGAUUCUUUAUGAUUCCUGCAUCUUUUUCUUCUUUGUCAGCUUGUAUCCAUUUUUAAAAGACCUACCUCAAAAUUUCUCCUGUAAUAAGUAGUCAUCCUGGGG
Molecule: long non-coding RNA, 1588 nt
Filed under: Equus asinus (donkey)
Lineage: Eukaryota; Metazoa; Chordata; Mammalia; Perissodactyla; Equidae
Description: lncRNA (ENSEASG00005038081.1)
Source: RNAcentral